UUUUAGCUAAAAUAAUUGAUUUCGAAUCAACAUAACGACAAAGC
Molecule: transfer RNA, 44 nt
Filed under: Oribatula sp. XFX
Lineage: Eukaryota; Metazoa; Arthropoda; Arachnida; Sarcoptiformes; Oribatulidae
Description: tRNA-Arg
Source: RNAcentral